This 253-nucleotide ribosomal RNA is filed under the name uncultured bacterium. RNAcentral describes it as "partial 16S ribosomal RNA". It matches the Rfam family "Bacterial small subunit ribosomal RNA", at positions 524 to 776 of the family's 1533-position model. The record is from RNAcentral.
UACGGGGGGGGUAAGCGUUGUUCGGAAUUACUGUGCGUAAAGGGCUCGUAGGUGGUUUGUCGCGUUGUCCGUGAAAACUCACAGCUUAACUGUGGGCGUGCGGGCGAUACGGGCAGACUGGAGUACUGCAGGGGAGACUGGAAUUCCUGGUGUAGCGGUGGAAUGCGCAGAUAUCAGGAGGAACACCGGUGGCGAAGGCGGGUCUCUGGGCAGUAACUGACGCUGAGGAGCGAAAGCGUGGGGAGCGAACAGG